CCUGCGCCUCUCCUCCGAGGCUUCCCCCCCUUCUGAGCAGGAACAAAACCAGCUGGUGGGGCCGCCCUCCGCCCGGCUCUCUUUCCAGCUUCUGCAAAGUGCUCCGGACGAGCGGAGCUCCGAGAGCGGCCGCCCCAGAUUUUAUCAGACUUCUCACGAAGCUGAUUCCGGGGGGAGGAAGCCAAGUAAAACUGGCCGUUUGGGUUCACGGACAAUGCAUUUCUGGGCAUGAAGUUCAGCUCUUUGUCCUGCUGUUGAAGCCAGAAAGAAUCCGGGGCAGGGAUGAGGGCAAGCGGAGACGCCACAUGAAGAGCCUCGGAGGAAUCGUCUGGAGAGCCCGAGCCAGGUACAGUCUGAUCAGCAACAAGAGGCCGUCCUGCUCUUUAGCAGAGUCAACUCACUGGCAGGGGAAGGACCUGGGAUUCGAAUCUGCGACUUGAGAAUGGAAACUGCUCACUCGAGGCCAAGCCUCCUCCCUCCGCAGGGAUCCACGUGGGAGCAAGGGCUCAGCUUAGCAUGGUAACCACGUGUUGGUGGCCUUUUGAACGAGGGCAUUUCUAGGGCACGAGGGACAAAUGGUUGAUUCGGUGGGCCACCCACCAGACAGCUAGGAAGUGAAGUGGACUUGACACCAAAUAAUUUCAUAUUCGAAUUUUCUUUUCCUCCAAAUCUACCCACUGAGAAGUCCUAGGGCAGGAAGGGACCUGAAAAGAAUGUCAGGAUGGAAGCUAUGAAUGUCUUUCUUUUGCCUUUUUUUUUUUUGAAGAGCCUUAUCUAAAGCUCCCUAGAUCUGCUUCCAUCUUAUACAGGAAAGUGAGUGAGUCUCACGUCCUCCAUUAGAAAACCAUCUCCAUAGGUCAAAAGAGCCAAAGGACUCUGGGGUUCUAUUUACAUCUUCAAAAAGCAAAAUUCAUUGCUAAGUUCAACACCCAUUCUUCUUUCACGGACCCUAAUUAAACUUGCACUUAUCAUCUUUUUCUCUGGCUUGUGUGACCCCGAAAACUCACGAGUGCCUUGUUGAGACGCUCACGUGCUGCCCUCUCUCCGCGUCCCACAAUCUGUGAGCUCUGCUGAUCCCGGUCCUCGCACAGGAAUCAGGUAAGGAAGAAGUCUCUGUGCCCAAGAGGUAAGUAG
Molecule: long non-coding RNA, 1134 nt
Filed under: Ursus maritimus (polar bear)
Lineage: Eukaryota; Metazoa; Chordata; Mammalia; Carnivora; Ursidae
Description: lncRNA (ENSUMAG00000000558.1)
Source: RNAcentral